AGCAGCCGCGGUAAUUCCAGCUCCAAUAGCGUAUAUUAAAGUUGUUGCAGUUAAAAAGCUCGUAGUUGAAUUUCGGGAUCUGUCCAUUGGUCGGGCCUCACGGUCCGUACUGGUGUGAUGGGUUCCUACCUUCUGAAUAACCAGCAUGCCAUUUAGUUGGUGCGCCGGGGAAGCAGAGCUGUUACCUUGAAAAAUUAGAGUGCUUAAAGCAGGCUAUUUGCUUGAAUAGAUUAGCAUGGAAUAAUAAAAUAGGACGGCAUGGUUCUAUUUUGUUGGUUUCUAGGAUCACCGUAAUGAUUAAUAGGGAUAGUUGGGGCAUUAGUAUUCAAUUGUCAGAGGUGAAAUUCUUGGAUUUAUUGAAGAC
This 364-nucleotide ribosomal RNA is filed under the name uncultured Glomeromycotina. RNAcentral describes it as "SSU rRNA". It matches the Rfam family "Eukaryotic small subunit ribosomal RNA", at positions 569 to 936 of the family's 1831-position model. The record is from RNAcentral. Lineage: Eukaryota; Fungi; Glomeromycota.